Molecule: ribosomal RNA, 497 nt
Filed under: uncultured bacterium
Lineage: Bacteria
Description: partial 16S ribosomal RNA
Rfam family: Bacterial small subunit ribosomal RNA
Source: RNAcentral
GAUGAACGCUGGCGGCGUGCCUAACACAUGCAAGUCGAGCGAACGGACGAGACGUUUGCUUCUCUGAUGUUAGCGGCGGAGGGGUGAGUAACAUGUGGAUAACCUACCUAUAAGACUGGGAUAUUUACGGGACACCGGAGCUAAUACCGGAUAAUCUUUUGAACCGCAUUGUUCAAAAGUGAAAGUCGGUCUUGCUGGCACUUAUAGCUGGAUCCGCGCUGCAUUAGCUAGUUGGUAGGGUAACGGCUUACCAAGGCAAGGAGGCAUAGCCGACCUGAGAGAGGGAUCGGCCACAUUGGAAGUGAGACAGGGACCAGACUCCUACGGGAGGCAGCAGUAGGGAAUCUGACGCAAUGGGCGAAAGCCUGACGGAACAACGGCGCGUGAGUGAUGAAGGUGUUCGGAGCGGAAAGCUCUGUUAUGAGGGAAGAACAGAUGUGUAAGUAACUGUGCACAUCUUGACGGUACCUAAUCAGAAAGCCACGGCUAACUACGUG